Molecule: long non-coding RNA, 390 nt
Organism: Camelus dromedarius (Arabian camel)
Lineage: Eukaryota; Metazoa; Chordata; Mammalia; Artiodactyla; Camelidae
Exons: 2
Source: RefSeq, a predicted model, not a curated record
CAUAAUAAACCAGAUGGUCAUACCACAGCAAAUGGUGGUACUGAAAGAGAAGAGAAGGAAAACAGAAGUUUUUUACCCCCGCUUUUUCAAGGACGAUCGGCAACUUUGAUUUGAGAAGACAGAACUCCUGUUCCUAUGGGACCACCACGAGAACCUGGUCUUGCUGUUCCAGGUGGCAUCUAAAUGACAAACAAAAUUACAGUUUUAUUAAACUAGAAAAACAGUGCCUCUAAAAUUGUCAAAACUGCAAAGAGGAUAUUUUUAAAGAUAAAGAUUCUAUAUAAUUUGUAAAAUUUUCCUUACACUUUUGAAUGUCUGAAAUUUUAUUUAACAAAAUUAACAUUUAAAAUUAUGUGAAUAUUGGGUAAUACACUUCUUUAAAAUUUUAAA